CAGCCGCCGCGGGAAUACGUAGGCGGCAAGCGUUGUCCGGAAUUAUUGGGCGUAAAGCGCGCGCAGGUGGUUUAAUAAGUCUGAUGUGAAAGCCCACGGCUCAACCGUGGAGGGUCAUUGGAAACUGUUAAACUUGAGUGCAGGAGAGAAAAGUGGAAUUCCUAGUGUAGCGGUGAAAUGCGUAGAGAUUAGGAGGAACACCAGUGGCGAAGGCGGCUUUUUGGCCUGUAACUGACACUGAGGCGCGAAAGCGUGGGGAGCAAACAGGAUUAGAUACCCGUGUAGUCCCUGUCUCUUAUAC
Molecule: ribosomal RNA, 301 nt
Filed under: uncultured bacterium
Lineage: Bacteria
Description: partial 16S ribosomal RNA
Rfam family: Bacterial small subunit ribosomal RNA
Source: RNAcentral